GUUUGACCUCGGAUCAGGUAGGAGUACCCGCUGAACUUAA
This 40-nucleotide ribosomal RNA is filed under the name Chrysosporium sp. Its description in RNAcentral is "partial 28S ribosomal RNA". The record is from RNAcentral. Lineage: Eukaryota; Fungi; Ascomycota; Eurotiomycetes; Onygenales; Onygenaceae.